This 609-nucleotide ribosomal RNA is filed under the name uncultured Flavobacteriales bacterium. Its description in RNAcentral is "bacterial SSU rRNA". It matches the Rfam family "Bacterial small subunit ribosomal RNA", at positions 45 to 654 of the family's 1533-position model. The record is from RNAcentral. Lineage: Bacteria; Pseudomonadati; Bacteroidota; Flavobacteriia; Flavobacteriales.
GGCCUAACACAUGCAAGUCGAGGGGCAGCACGUCUUCGGAUGGUGGCGACCGGCGCACGGGUGCGUAACGCGUAUGCAACCUACCCUGUACUGAGGUAUAGCCCGGAGAAAUUCGGAUUAAUCCCUCAUAGUAUUAAGAGAUCGCAUGAUUUUUUAAUUAAAGGUUACGGUACAGGAUGGGCAUGCGUCCUAUUAGCUAGAUGGUAAGGUAACGGCUUACCAUGGCUACGAUAGGUAGGGGGCCUGAGAGGGUGGUCCCCCACACUGGUACUGAGACACGGACCAGACUCCUACGGGAGGCAGCAGUGAGGAAUAUUGGUCAAUGGGCGCAAGCCUGAACCAGCCAUGCCGCGUGCAGGAAGAAUGCCCUAUGGGUUGUAAACUGCUUUUAUUUAGGAAUAAACCUUUCUACGUGUAGAAAGCUGAAGGUACUGAAUGAAUAAGCACCGGCUAACUCCGUGCCAGCAGCCGCGGUAAUACGGAGGGUGCAAGCGUUAUCCGGAAUCAUUGGGUUUAAAGGGUCCGCAGGCGGAUCUAUAAGUCAGUGGUGAAAUCCUAUCGCUUAACGAUAGAAACUGCCAUUGAUACUGUAAGUCUUGAAUUCGGUCC